GAUGAACGCUGACAGAAUGCUUAACACAUGCAAGUCUACUUGAAUUUGGGUUUUUUCCCUUAGAUUUGGGUGGCGGACGGGUGAGUAACGCGUAAAGAACUUGCCUCACAGCUAGGGACAACAUUUGGAAACGAAUGCUAAUACCUGAUAUUAUGAUUAUAAGGCAUCUUAGAAUUAUGAAAGCUAUAUGCGCUGUGAGAGAGCUUUGCGUCCCAUUAGCUAGUUGGAGAGGUAACGGCUCACCAAGGCGAUGAUGGGUAGCCGGCCUGAGAGGGUGAACGGCCACAAGGGGACUGAGACACGGCCCUUACUCCUACGGGAGGCAGCAGUGGGGAAUAUUGGACAAUGGACCAAGAGUCUGAUCCAGCAAUUCUGUGUGCACGAUGACGUUUUUCGGAAUGUAAAGUGCUUUCAGUUGGGAAGAAAAAAAUGACGGUACCAACAGAAGAAGAGACGGCUAAAUACGUG
Molecule: ribosomal RNA, 468 nt
Filed under: uncultured bacterium
Lineage: Bacteria
Description: partial 16S ribosomal RNA
Rfam family: Bacterial small subunit ribosomal RNA
Source: RNAcentral